GUCCAGCAUGCUACAUAGCUCAGUUGGUAGAGCAUGAAACUCUUAAUCUCAGGAUUAUGGGUUCAAGCCCCACGUUGGACA
Podarcis lilfordi (Lilford's wall lizard) is the source of this 81-nucleotide non-coding RNA. The record is from the annotation of a GenBank genome assembly. NCBI's taxonomy places the organism in Eukaryota, Metazoa, Chordata, Lepidosauria, Squamata, Lacertidae.